GGGGCUGAUCGGUUUCGACUUGGGACGUUAGUUCCAGGGGAAGCGGGUCGAGAAGCCAGCGUCAUCUCGUAAACGAUCGCUGGAAACCAAUAACUGCCAACGCUAAGCGCAGUUCCUUCGCUCUCGCCGCCUGACGCGGUGAUCGAAGCGUCUGACCGGGCAUCCGUCUCCGUCCCGGACCCAGGCGUCAUCUAGGAGACUUGCUGAUCCACUGCUGUCAGGGUGGUUGAUCGGGACUCAAACCUGACUGAGCCUGUCGGUGACGUGUCCGUGCGAGCACCGGGGCUGAGAACACGACAUCACGGACUGCACCCGGAGAAGACCUGGAUCGACGCUCGAGGACCGGGGUUCGAUUCCCCGCAGCUCCACCA
This 371-nucleotide transfer-messenger RNA is filed under the name Nocardioidaceae. Its description in RNAcentral is "Nocardioides sp004919105 Standard tmRNA". It matches the Rfam family "transfer-messenger RNA". Rfam says of the family: Bacterial tmRNA, also known as 10Sa RNA or SsrA, is named for its dual tRNA and mRNA-like properties. Its role is to liberate the mRNA from a stalled ribosome. RNAcentral also lists the same sequence under 1 other name. Lineage: Bacteria; Bacillati; Actinomycetota; Actinomycetes; Propionibacteriales. The record is from RNAcentral.